GCCCGCCUAGCUCAAUCGGAUAGAGCGUCAGACUCUUACGGCGUGGUGACAUGCGUACUUCCGCAAUCUGAAGGCUGCGAGUUCGACCCUCGCGGUGGGCU
Molecule: non-coding RNA, 101 nt
Organism: Rhodofomes roseus
Lineage: Eukaryota; Fungi; Basidiomycota; Agaricomycetes; Polyporales; Fomitopsidaceae
Source: the annotation of a RefSeq genome assembly